RNAcentral lists this ribosomal RNA (133 nucleotides) under uncultured Acidobacteriota bacterium. RNAcentral describes it as "uncultured Acidobacteria bacterium partial 16S ribosomal RNA". It matches the Rfam family "Bacterial small subunit ribosomal RNA", at positions 1245 to 1377 of the family's 1533-position model. The record is from RNAcentral. Lineage: Bacteria; Pseudomonadati; Acidobacteriota.
CGCUGCGAACUCGCGAGAGGGAGCCAAUCGGAAAAAGCCGGUCUCAGUUCGGAUUGGAGUCUGCAACUCGACUCCAUGAAGUUGGAAUCGCUAGUAAUCGCAGAUCAGCACGCUGCGGUGAAUACGUUCCCGG